Molecule: long non-coding RNA, 1158 nt
Organism: Homo sapiens (human)
Lineage: Eukaryota; Metazoa; Chordata; Mammalia; Primates; Hominidae
Exons: 7
Source: RefSeq, a predicted model, not a curated record
CAAGAACUGUGGAGUUAUAUCAAAAGUUGCAACAUGUAUAUAAUUGGAAUAUCAAAAAGAGAAGAAGAAGAAAAUGGAGCAGAAGAAACAUUUGCAGAAAUAAUGACUGAGAAGUUCUCAAAUUAAGAACAGAUAUCAAGCCACAGAACCAGGAAGCUUAGACAAUAUCAGCAGAAUAAACACCAAAGACUCCACACGGAGACACACCACAUUCAAACUGCAAAAAACAAAAAUAAAGAAAAAAAAAUUUAAUGAAUCUAGGAUUGGAGAACACUUUCCAUACUGAGGUAAAAGAAUACAAAUUACCAGAGACUUCUCAUGAAAAAUAAUGCAAACAAGAAGAGAAUGAAAUGAAAUCAUUAAAAUGCUCAAAGAAAAAGACUACAACCAUGAGUUCUAUAUCCAUUUAAAUUAUUAUUUCUUCAAAAAGAAGAAAUAAAAACUUUCUUAGACAAACAAAAACUAAAAAUUCCCACCCAGUGGACUUGCUCUGCAAGACAUGUUAAAAGAAGGUCUUUAGGCGGAAGGAAAAUCAUGUGUAGAUCAGAUGCUUGAAUCUACAUAAAGAAUCUAUGGCCAUACCACCCUGAACGUGCCCAAUCUCGUCUGAAUCUACAUAAAGAAAAAAGAAAGCAUCAGAGAAGUAGUUCAUGAAGGUUGUGUUUUUUAAUAGUUGGAGGAGCGGAGAGAACAGGCGUAGUGGAGAGAGUAAAGAAUAUUCCUUAUGUGCACAUGAGAAAGUCACCACAGAAAAGAAAGCAACCUGAUGCUGUCAGAGUGACUCACGUAUCCUCUAUUCUUGGAAGGAGGAGAAAAGAUGGAAGGCCAAUGCAAUACUUUGUUACAUGGAUCUUAUGUUACAUUAUGUCUGUGGCCCAGCAUGCUUAUGUGAAAGAAAGAAUACCAGUCUCAUUUUUCAGGUAUACAACUUCAAGAGAACACCAUGGCUUUAGUCAAAAGGAAAGAAGCUGCGUCAUGUUGUCGGUGUUUGAAGGAAGAAAAGGCUGAAGAUAAUUCUUUAUCAGGUGGAACAGAACCUCUUAUAUGAAAACUCUCUGUUCCCAUCAUUCAAAGACUACCAGGAACACAUCUGUGAUCAACAAAGGAUGCCUGCUGAUGUUGGCUUUGAGUGACGUGACCUUCAACGCUUCCUUAAAC